UACGUAGGGCGCAAGCGUUAUCCGGAAUUAUUGGGCGUAAAGAGCGUGUAGGCGGUCCGGUACGUCCGCUGUGAAAGUCGGGGGCUCAACCCUCGAAUGCCGGUGGAUACUGUCGGGCUAGAGUGCGGAAGAGGCGAGUGGAAUUCCUGGUGUAGCGGUGAAAUGCGCAGAUAUCAGGAGGAACACCUAUUGCGAAGGCAGCUCGCUGGGACGUUACUGACGCUGAGACGCGAAAGCGUGGGGAGCAAACAGG
RNAcentral lists this ribosomal RNA (253 nucleotides) under uncultured bacterium. RNAcentral describes it as "partial 16S ribosomal RNA". It matches the Rfam family "Bacterial small subunit ribosomal RNA", at positions 524 to 776 of the family's 1533-position model. The record is from RNAcentral.